This 55-nucleotide transfer RNA is filed under the name Globodera ellingtonae. RNAcentral's name for it is "tRNA-His". The record is from RNAcentral. Lineage: Eukaryota; Metazoa; Nematoda; Chromadorea; Rhabditida; Heteroderidae.
AGCCUGAUAUUUUAUUUUAAAAAUUCUUGGUUGUGGGUCGAGAGAAUUUGGGCUA